AUACCAUGGUGCGGACAUAUAACUAACAUUCCUUUGAAUCGUUCCCAUGUUUCUUGCAGUGUUUCCAUUGGUUUCUGUUUGAAGCUCAAAAUUUCAUCAUUGCUUGACU
This is a small nucleolar RNA of Nicotiana attenuata, 109 nucleotides long. It matches the Rfam family "Plant small nucleolar RNA R71". Rfam says of the family: R71 is a member of the C/D box family of snoRNAs containing the C (UGAUGA) and D (CUGA) box motifs. Multiple nearly identical copies of this snoRNA have been identified in Arabidopsis, and it is thought to function as a 2'-O-ribose methylation guide for 18S ribosomal RNA. The record is from Rfam. NCBI's taxonomy places the organism in Eukaryota, Viridiplantae, Streptophyta, Magnoliopsida, Solanales, Solanaceae.